CCUACGGGCGGCAGCAGUGGGGAAUAUUGGGCAAUGGGCGCAAGCCUGACCCAGCAAUGCCGCGUGAAGGAAGAAGGCUUUCGGGUUGUAAACUUCUUUGACAGGGGAAGAGCAGAAGACGGUACCCUGAAAACAAGCCACGGCUAACUACGUGCCAGCAGCCGCGGUAAUACGUAGGUGGCAAGCGUUGUCCGGAUUUACUGGGUGUAAAGGGCGUGUAGCCGGGAAGGCAAGUCAGAUGUGAAAUCUGGAGGCUCAACCUCCAAAUUGCAUUUGAAACUGUUUUUCUGGGGUACUGGAGAGGCAGACGGAAUUCCUUGUGUAGCGGUGAAAUGCGUAGAUAUAAGGAGGAACACCAGUGGCGAAAGCGGUCUGCUGGACAGCAACUGACGGUGAGGCGCGAAAGCGUGGGGAGCAAACAGGAUUAGAUAUAGUAGUC
RNAcentral lists this ribosomal RNA (439 nucleotides) under uncultured bacterium. RNAcentral describes it as "partial 16S ribosomal RNA". It matches the Rfam family "Bacterial small subunit ribosomal RNA", at positions 338 to 795 of the family's 1533-position model. The record is from RNAcentral.